This 451-nucleotide ribosomal RNA is filed under the name uncultured bacterium. RNAcentral describes it as "partial 16S ribosomal RNA". It matches the Rfam family "Bacterial small subunit ribosomal RNA", at positions 354 to 796 of the family's 1533-position model. The record is from RNAcentral.
GUGGGGAAUAUUGGACAAUGGGCGAAAGCCUGAUCCAGCCAUGCCGCGUGUGUGAAGAAGGCCUUUUGGUUGUAAAGCACUUUAAGCGAGGAGGAGGCUACCGAGAUUAAUACUCUUGGAUAGUGGACGUUACUUGCAGAAUAAGCACCGGCUAACUCUGUGCCAGCAGCCGCGGUAAUACAGAGGGUGCGAGCGUUAAUCGGAUUUACUGGGCGUAAAGCGUGCGUAGGCGGCUUUUUAAGUCGGAUGUGAAAUCCCUGAGCUUAACUUAGGAAUUGCAUUCGAUACUGGGAAGCUAGAGUAUGGGAGAGGAUGGUAGAAUUCCAGGUGUAGCGGUGAAAUGCGUAGAGAUCUGGAGGAAUACCGAUGGCGAAGGCAGCCAUCUGGCCUAAUACUGACGCUGAGGUACGAAAGCAUGGGGAGCAAACAGGAUUAGAAACCCCUGUAGUCC